Transfer RNA from Cavia porcellus (domestic guinea pig), 64 nucleotides. It matches the Rfam family "tRNA". From Rfam's summary of the family: Transfer RNA (tRNA) molecules are approximately 80 nucleotides in length. The record is from Rfam. Lineage: Eukaryota; Metazoa; Chordata; Mammalia; Rodentia; Caviidae.
GGGGAUUUAGCUCAGCAGCAUAAGUGCCUGCCUCACAAGCAGGCGGUCAUGAGUUCAAUCCCCG